UACAGAGGUCUCAAGCGUUGUUCGGAUUCAUUGGGCGUAAAGGGUGUGUAGGUGGCGCCGUAAGUCGGGUGUGAAAUUUCGGAGCUUAACUGCGGAACUGCAUUGGAAACUAUUUGACUAGAGGAAUGGAGGGGAGACUGGAAUACUUGGUGUAGCAGUGAAAUGCGUAGAUAUCAAGUGGAACACCAGUGGCGAAGGCGAGUCUCUGGACAUUUCCUGACGCUGAGGCACGAAAGCCAGGGGAGCAAACGGG
This 253-nucleotide ribosomal RNA is filed under the name uncultured bacterium. Its description in RNAcentral is "partial 16S ribosomal RNA". It matches the Rfam family "Bacterial small subunit ribosomal RNA", at positions 524 to 776 of the family's 1533-position model. The record is from RNAcentral.